AGCAGCCGCCGCGGGAAAACAGAGGGUGCGAGCGUUAAUCGGAUUUACUGGGCGUAAAGCGUGCGUAGGCGGCUUUUUAAGUCGGAUGUGAAAUCCCUGAGCUUAACUUAGGAAUUGCAUUCGAUACUGGGAAGCUAGAGUAUGGGAGAGGAUGGUAGAAUUCCAGGUGUAGCGGUGAAAUGCGUAGAGAUCUGGAGGAAUACCGAUGGCGAAGGCAGCCAUCUGGCCUAAUACUGACGCUGAGGUACGAAAGCAUGGGGAGCAAACAGGAUUAGAUACCCGAGUAGUCCCUGUCUCUUAUAA
RNAcentral lists this ribosomal RNA (303 nucleotides) under uncultured bacterium. RNAcentral describes it as "partial 16S ribosomal RNA". It matches the Rfam family "Bacterial small subunit ribosomal RNA", at positions 507 to 809 of the family's 1533-position model. The record is from RNAcentral.